GGAAACCCCACUUCCAGAAGAUAGAGGCAAAGCCGUUGCUACAUUGAGUAAAGCACUCGAAUACUUUCUAAAGAAAGCUGAAAAGAAUCACGUUCUUGCUGGUGCUUUUGGCCUAGGAGGAACAGGAGGCACAUCUCUGUUAUCAUCAGCUUUCAGAUCUCUUCCAUUUGGGACUCCUAAAGUAAUUGUGUCAACUGUAGCCAGCGGUAGAACUGAACAGUACAUUGGAGCUUCUGAUCUGAUAUUGUUUCCAUCUGUUGUGGACAUUUGUGGAAUUAAUAGCGUGAGUAAGGUUGUAUUAUCAAAUGCUAGAGCUGCUUUCGCUGGAAUGGUAAUCGGUGAGCUUGAGACAGAGAAAUCCAUCGAUUAUUGUAAGAAUAAUGACAAGUUCACGGUUGGUUUAACUAUGUAUGGAGUUACAACUCCAUGUGUAAGUGCUGUCAAAGAAAGAUUGGUAAAAGAAGGUUAUGAGACCUUGGUUUUCCAUGCCACUGGGGUAGGGGGCAGGGCCAUGGAGUCUCUCGUCAGGGAUGGAAUUAUACAGGGUGUUUUGGGCAUCACAACAACAGAGGUUGCAGAUUAUGUGGUUGGAGGUGUCAUGGCUUGUGACAGUUCCAGGUUUGAUGCUAUCAAUGAGAAGAAAAUCCCUUUAGUCCUGAGUGUAGGAGCCUUGGAC
Molecule: unclassified non-coding RNA, 676 nt
Filed under: Hevea brasiliensis (rubber tree)
Lineage: Eukaryota; Viridiplantae; Streptophyta; Magnoliopsida; Malpighiales; Euphorbiaceae
Source: RNAcentral